CAAGUAUUUCCCAGAUAAAAUACUUCUAACAUAGUAAAGGUAACGAAUGGUUGCACCCCUGUAUGAUGGUGGCAUGGUGCUUGGUAGAAUUGUUCGCACCAUAAAUUUUCUGGAGCUACCGGCGGAGACAAUCUGAUUUGAUAUUAAUGCAGGAGCCAAAUUAUCCAUAAAAACAUACUCUCCUCUGCGUUUCUUAAAAUCAGGAGAAGGUUUAGUAGUAGAGAACCACUGAGUAUCCAAUUUCUCGAUCCCUUUCAUUUCAAAACCAAGUUUUUCAAUAAGCAAAGAAGAAGAAGUCGUUGGGUUCUUGAUUUCAAUAGUAAUGGUUAUCGGAUCACCCGGUCUAUACACUUCUCUAUCCGGUUCCAGCUUCAGCUGGGGUUGUUGUAGAUCCGUCGCAUUGGAUCUUCUUCCACUGACACUGCCUCCGCCGCCACCACCGCCGCCGAUGCCGGCAGUGAUGUUAAAGAAGGAGAAAACACGGGAAGGUUUAUUCGG
This 498-nucleotide unclassified non-coding RNA is filed under the name Hevea brasiliensis (rubber tree). Lineage: Eukaryota; Viridiplantae; Streptophyta; Magnoliopsida; Malpighiales; Euphorbiaceae. The record is from RNAcentral.